Molecule: ribosomal RNA, 496 nt
Filed under: uncultured bacterium
Lineage: Bacteria
Description: partial 16S ribosomal RNA
Rfam family: Bacterial small subunit ribosomal RNA
Source: RNAcentral
AUGCACGCUGGCGGCGUGCCUAAUACAUGCAAGUCGAGCGAACAGACGAGGAGCUUGCUCCUCUGACGUUAGCGGCGGACGGGUGAGUAACACGUGGAUAACCUACCUAUAAGACUGGGAUAACUUCGGGAAACCGGAGCUAAUACCGGAUAAUAUAUUGAACCGCAUGGUUCCAUAGUGAAAGACGGUUUUGCUGUCACUUAUAGAUGGAUCCGCGCCGCAUUAGCUAGUUGGUAAGGAAACGGCUUACCAAGGCGACGAUGCGUAGCCGACCUGAGAGGGUGAUCGGCCACACUGGAACUGAGACACGGUCCAGACUCCUACGGGAGGCAGCAGUAGGGAAUCUUCCGCAAUGGGCGAAAGCCUGACGGAGCAACGCCGCGUGAGUGAUGAAGGUCUUCGGAUCGUAAAACUCUGUUAUUAGGGAAGAACAAAUGUGUAAGUAACUAUGCACGUCUUGACGGUACCUAAUCAGAAAGCCACGGCUAACUACGUG